Molecule: transfer RNA, 72 nt
Organism: Camelus ferus (Wild Bactrian camel)
Lineage: Eukaryota; Metazoa; Chordata; Mammalia; Artiodactyla; Camelidae
Rfam family: tRNA
About the family: Transfer RNA (tRNA) molecules are approximately 80 nucleotides in length.
Source: Rfam
GGUGGUAUAGCUCCAUGGUGGAGCGCAUGCCUGGCAUGCAUGAGGCUCUGGGUUCAAUCCCCAGUACCUCCA